AUGAACGCUGGCGGCGUGCCUAAUACAUGCAAGUCGAGCGAACAGACGAGGAGCUUGCUCCUCUGACGUUAGCGGAGGACGGGUGAGUAACACGUGUAUAACCUACCUAUAAGACUGGGAUAACUUCGGGAAACCGGAGCUAAUACCGGAUAAUAUAUUGAACCGCAUGGUUCAAUAGUGAAAGACGGUUUUGCUGUCACUUAUAGAUGGAUCCGCGCCGCAUUAGCUAGUUGGUAAGGUAACGGCUUACCAAGGCAACGAUGCGUAGCCGACCUGAGAGGGUGAUCGGCCACACUGGAACUGAGACACGGUCCAGACUCCUACGGGAGGCAGCAGUAGGGAAUCUUCCGCAGUGGGCGAAAGCCUGACGGAGCAACGCCGCGUGAGUGAUGAAGGUCUUCGGAUCGUAAAACUCUGUUAUUAGGGAAGAACAAAUGUGUAAGUAACUAUGCACGUCUUGACGGUACCUAAUCAGAAAGCCACGGCUAACUACGUG
RNAcentral lists this ribosomal RNA (496 nucleotides) under uncultured bacterium. RNAcentral describes it as "partial 16S ribosomal RNA". It matches the Rfam family "Bacterial small subunit ribosomal RNA", at positions 29 to 507 of the family's 1533-position model. The record is from RNAcentral.